UGCAAGUCGAGCGGACAGAAGGGAGCUUGCUCCCGGAUGUUAGCGGCGGACGGGUGAGUAACACGUGGGUAACCUGCCUGUAAGACUGGGAUAACUCCGGGAAACCGGAGCUAAUACCGGAUAGUUCCUUGAACCGCAUGGUUCAAGGAUGAAAGACGGUUUCGGCUGUCACUUACAGAUGGACCCGCGGCGCAUUAGCUAGUUGGUGGGGUAAUGGCUCACCAAGGCGACGAUGCGUAGCCGACCUGAGAGGGUGAUCGGCCACACUGGGACUGAGACACGGCCCAGACUCCUACGGGAGGCAGCAGUAGGGAAUCUUCCGCAAUGGACGAAAGUCUGACGGAGCAACGCCGCGUGAGUGAUGAAGGUUUUCGGAUCGUAAAGCUCUGUUGUUAGGGAAGAACAAGUGCGAGAGUAACUGCUCGCACCUUGACGGUACCUAACCAGAAAGCCACGGCUAACUACGUGCCAGCAGCCGCGGUAAUACGUAGGUGGCAAGCGUUGUCCGGAAUUAUUGGGCGUAAAGGGCUCGCAGGCGGUUUCUUAAGUCUGAUGUGAAAGCCCCCGGCUCAACCGGGGAGGGUCAUUGGAAACUGGGAAACUUGAGUGCAGAAGAGGAGAGUGGAAUUCCACGUGUAGCGGUGAAAUGCGUAGAGAUGUGGAGGAACACCAGUGGCGAAGGCGACUCUCUGGUCUGUAACUGACGCUGAGGAGCGAAAGCGUGGGAGCGAACAGGAUUAGAUACCCUGGUAGUCCACGCCGUAAACGAUGAGUGCUAAGUGUUAGGGGGUUUCCGCCCUUAGUGCUGCAGCUAACGCAUUAAGCACUCCGCCUGGGGAGUACGGUCGCAAGACUGAAACUCAAAGGAAUUGACGGGGGCCCGCACAAGCGGUGGAGCAUGUGGUUUAAUUCGAAGCAACGCGAAGAACCUUACCAGGUCUUGACAUCCUCUGACAACCCUAGAGAUAGGGCUUUCCCUUCGGGGACAGAGUGACAGGUGGUGCAUGGUUGUCGUCAGCUCGUGUCGUGAGAUGUUGGGUUAAGUCCCGCAACGAGCGCAACCCUUGAUCUUAGUUGCCAGCAUUUAGUUGGGCACUCUAAGGUGACUGCCGGUGACAAACCGGAGGAAGGUGGGGAUGACGUCAAAUCAUCAUGCCCCUUAUGACCUGGGCUACACACGUGCUACAAUGGACAGAACAAAGGGCUGCGAGACCGCAAGGUUUAGCCAAUCCCAUAAAUCUGUUCUCAGUUCGGAUCGCAGUCUGCAACUCGACUGCGUGAAGCUGGAAUCGCUAGUAAUCGC
Molecule: ribosomal RNA, 1303 nt
Filed under: Bacillus pumilus
Lineage: Bacteria; Bacillati; Bacillota; Bacilli; Caryophanales; Bacillaceae
Description: bacterial SSU rRNA
Rfam family: Bacterial small subunit ribosomal RNA
Source: RNAcentral